RNAcentral lists this ribosomal RNA (253 nucleotides) under uncultured bacterium. RNAcentral's name for it is "partial 16S ribosomal RNA". It matches the Rfam family "Bacterial small subunit ribosomal RNA", at positions 524 to 776 of the family's 1533-position model. The record is from RNAcentral.
UACGUAGGGUGCAAGCGUUAAUCGGAAUUACUGGGCGUAAAGCGUGCGCAGGCGGCUAUGCAAGACAGAUGUGAAAUCCCCGGGCUCAACCUGGGAACUGCAUUUGUGACUGCAUGGCUAGAGUACGGCAGAGGGGGAUGGAAUUCCGCGUGUAGCAGUGAAAUGCGUAGAUAUGCGGAGGAACACCAAUGGCGAAGGCAAUCCCCUGGGCCUGUACUGACGCUCAUGCACGAAAGCGUGGGGAGCAAACAGG